GCGACCCCNGGAUGGGCGAGGCCACCCGCCGAGUUUAAGCAUAUCAAUAAGCGGAGGAGAAGAAAC
RNAcentral lists this ribosomal RNA (66 nucleotides) under Maxillaria cf. villosa Arevalo 902. Its description in RNAcentral is "partial 26S ribosomal RNA". Lineage: Eukaryota; Viridiplantae; Streptophyta; Magnoliopsida; Asparagales; Orchidaceae. The record is from RNAcentral.